UACGGAGGGUCCAAGCGUUAUCCGGAAUCAUUGGGCUUAAAGGGUCCGUAGGCGGUUUUGUAAGUCAGUGGUGAAAGCCCAUCGCUCAACGGUGGAACGGCCAUUGAUACUGCAAGACUUGAAUUAUUGGGAAGUAACUAGAAUAUGUAGUGUAGCGGUGAAAUGCUUAGAGAUUACAUGGAAUACCAAUUGCGAAGGCAGGUUACUGCCAAUAUAUUGACGCUGAUGGACGAAAGCGUGGGGAGCGAACAGG
RNAcentral lists this ribosomal RNA (253 nucleotides) under uncultured bacterium. Its description in RNAcentral is "partial 16S ribosomal RNA". It matches the Rfam family "Bacterial small subunit ribosomal RNA", at positions 524 to 776 of the family's 1533-position model. The record is from RNAcentral.